RNAcentral lists this ribosomal RNA (471 nucleotides) under uncultured archaeon. RNAcentral's name for it is "partial 16S ribosomal RNA". It matches the Rfam family "Archaeal small subunit ribosomal RNA", at positions 50 to 515 of the family's 1478-position model. The record is from RNAcentral.
CAUGCGAGUCAUUGUAGCAUACAAGGCGGACGGCUCAGUAACACGUAGUCAACCUAACUCGUGGACGUGGAUAACCUCGGGAAACUGAGAAUAAACCACGAUAGAUCAUAGUGCCUGGAAUGGCUUAUGGUCCAAACAGUUUACUGCCAUGGGAUGGGACUGCGGCCUAUCAGCUUGUUGGUGAGGUAAUGGCCCACCAAGGCGAUUACAGGUACGGGCUCUGAGAGGAGAAGCCCGGAGAUGGGUACUGAGACACGGACCCAGGCCCUAUGGGGCGCAGCAGGCGAGAAACCUUAGCAAUGUGCGAAAGCACGACUGGGUCAGUCCGAGUGAUUCCUGAUAAAGGAGUCUUUUGCUUGUCCUAAAAAGCACAGGUGAAUAAGGGGGUGGGGCAAGUCUUGGUGGUCAGCCCCCCCCGGUUAAUACCCACACCCUCCCAGGGGGCCAGGAAGUUUUUUUGGGGCCUUAAAG